This 5792-nucleotide long non-coding RNA is filed under the name Homo sapiens (human). Its description in RNAcentral is "HSALNT0323257". Lineage: Eukaryota; Metazoa; Chordata; Mammalia; Primates; Hominidae. The record is from RNAcentral.
GUUUCCUUCUUGAUCCUUCACAAGGGAAGAUUUUCUUUUUUAGAGGUACAGAUUCCUCUUAGUCAAGUCCUGAUUAAAACUCCAGCUAAGACAUUAGUAAGCCUUGGUUAGUGAAGUGGCAUCAGGAAGUGCCUACAUUUUCAUGGCCUGGUAGCGUUCAGUGAAAAUGUUCAUUAACAGACACAGGCCAUUCAGUCCCGAAUCCCAAGACACUGAAGACUCUGUUUGAAUCAGACUCACGGGUUCCUUCCUAGCCACUCUCAGGGACAGGAAUGCUUCUGGUGAAGAAGUUUUCGGUGGUGGUUCAUGGAGCUUCCCUACACCAACUUGGAAAUGGCAUUCAUUUUAUUGGCUUUUGUUAUCUUUUCCUUAUUUACCCUGGCUUCCAUCUACACUACUCCGGAUGACAGUAAUGAAGAGGAAGAACAUGAAAAAAAGGGAAGGGAAAAGAAAAGGAAAAAGUCUGAAAAGAAGAAAAAUUGCUCAGAGGAAGAGCACAGAAUUGAAGCUGUUGAGCUAUGAUCUCAUAGCCACCGAUAUUUCUCGCUAAGAAGACAGAGGAAGCAAUCCAUGGGAACUACUUAUCCACAGUUACACAAGAGGAGGGGAUAAUGAAGAAAGUUAAAAUCACUUACUGAUUAAACACGAUGAUAAUAACCAUUAAUGAACUCAAUACUCGGGAAAGGCUUCACAUUUCUGGGACUCAGCAUUAUCCAAAAUAUCUAUUAAGAGCCAUACACCAUUCUAGCUGCAAUUGAUUAUACAAAAAAAAAAAGACCAAAGUGGUUACAAUAAUAAAAUAGAACACAGAGAAAGAAGAAAACUACAUGUGUUACAAUUUGGUAAGAUAAACAAACAAACAAAAAAUUUAAUCACUUUUUUUGGUCCUGCGACACACAUGAUAAUUUUUGUCUUAAUUCUCCUAACAAAUGAUAAUGAAAAGCUAUAAGUAACUGUGUUAUUGCUUCCGUAUCUGAAAUAGGUGAAAGAGGGAAAAAACACUAUAUAUUUUUUCAGCUUUACAGAAGAAAUUUUGAAAGGUUUACAUUCAAUGGAAAUAUUAGCAUUGCCUCAGUAAGCUUUAAAACACAAAUGUCUACGUUUUCUGAAGCAAUAUGGUUUACAGAGACAUGAGUGUUUGUAAAUCUCUCGUCCCAAUACUAUGUAAAUCCUUAAUGUGUAAGCAUCCAGGAAAAUUUGUCAUUCUGUGUCCUUUAUUCAUCCUAAAAGUUGAAAGUUUUCUGUUAUUUAUAUUUUUUUUUUUUUAAUUUGAGAGAGAGGCUGGGUGCAGUGGCUCACGCCUGUAAUCCCAGCACUUUGGGAGGCCGAGGUGGGCAGAUCACGAGGUCAGGAGAUUGAGACCAUCCUAGCUAACACAGUGAAACCCCGUCUCUACUAAAAAUACAAAAAAUUAGCCGAGCGUGGUGGCGGGCGCCUAUAGUCCCAUCUUCUCGGGAAGCUGAGGCAGGAGAAUGGUGUGAACCCGGGAGGCGGAGGUUGCAAUGAGCUGAGAUCAUGCCACUGCACUCCAGCCUGGGCGACAGAGCAAGACUCUGUCUCAAAAGAAAAAAAACAAAGAGAGAGAGAGGGUCUCGCUUUGUCACCGAGGCUGGAGUGCAGUGGUGUAAUCAUAGCUCACUGCAACCUUAAGUUCCUGGGCUCAGGUGAUCCUCUUGCUUCAGCCUCCCAAGUAACUGUGACUACAAGCAUGUGUCAUCACAGCCAGCUAAUUUUUGUAAUUGUUUGUAGAACCAAGGCCUCUCUAUGUUGCCUAGGCUGGUCUCCAAAUCCUGGACUCAAGCGAUCCUCUGCCUUAGCCUCCCAAAGCACUGGGAUUACACGCAUGAGCCACCAUGCCUGGCCUGUUAUUUAUAACUCUUACAAACAUUAAACCAUCACAAUCAAUGCUGGCAGCAUUAUCGUGGCAGGAAGGAAUCCACAAUACAACCAAAGAUACCUACCUGCAUCUCAUAAGAAUCAUAGCUCAGGUCUCCAUUGCCACAGAGUUUCAGUCAUGUGAGAGACUCCCUUUAUCUGUACUUACCCCUUACUGCUCACUUUCAAGAAAGAUUCAAUAAAGAUGGCUUUCUGCCAUACAGAGAUAGGCAUACUAGUGUAAACAGAAUGCUUACAAAGUUAACCAAGUAGUCACCCAGGUCAGAGUACUAAACAUUUAAAAGGGCUCACUAAGUUAGAGAGGACAGAGAAUGGGCUUUGGAGAUGAGCAGAUCUGGGUUUGAGUCUGCUCCAACCUUUCCUUAUUAUAUGACCUUGGGCAAAGUACUUAAUUUCUCUGAGCCUUGGUGUUCUCUCUGAAAAAAUGAGCAUUUUAAAAAAUCUUUGCUGGGCUGACAAAUGGAUGAGAGAUAGUAUAAGUAAAAUGUGUAACUCAGUGCCUAGGAUCGUUGCUGAAUAACGCUACCUAUUAUUAUUGGAAAGCAUUUUGGGACAUUUGGACUUUUAAGUUUACUGAUACGUUUUUUCAGAAAAGCAGAAAAAUCAACAACAUGGUUUCAAAUACUUGGAUGAGGCUCCAUUCACUCCCUUAGCCCAUCUUACAUAUAUUACUGCAUUGACUGGAAAUGGGAGGCACUUCACAAUUAGGAAUAUUGUCAGGUCAGCCAGGCGCCGUGGGCAUGCUUAUAGUCCAAGCUACUCACAAGGCUGAGGCAGGAGGAUCGCUUGAGCCUGGGAGUUUGAGGCUGCAGUGAGCUCCAGCCUGGGUGAAAGAGAAGACCCUAUCUCAAAAAAUAAAAAAUUUUAAAAACCUGUCAAGUUAGAUGUUAAAGAGGACAUGUAAAAUAAAAUCUCCCUAACAUGUUUAUGAAAUAGCUGCAAAAGGCUGAGCGUGGUGGCUCACGUCUGAAAUCCCAGCACUUUGUGAAGCCGAGGUGGGUGGAUCACCUGAGGUCAAGAGUUAGAGACCAGCCUGGCCAAGAUGGUGAAACCUCCUCUCUACUAAAAAUACAAAAAUUAGCCAGGCGUGGUGGUCCAUGCCUGUAAUCCUAGCUACUCAGGAGGCUGAGGCAGGAGAAUCACUUGAACCUGGGAGGCGGAGGUUGUAGUGAGCCAAGAUUGCGCCAUUGCUCUCCAGCCUGGGGAGCAAAUGCAAAACUCCAUUUCAAAAAAAAGAAAAGAAAAGAAAUAACUGCCAAAACCCCAGGCUAUUAUUUUGUUACCCAAAGCAUAACCAAUCUACCAAAGCCAUCCAAAAUGCUUCAGAAGGCCGGGCGCAGUGACUCACGCCUAUAAUCCCAGCACUUAGGGAGGCCGAGUCAGGUGGGUCACUUGAGGCCAGAAAUUCAAGACUAGCCUGGCCAACAUGGUGAAACUCUGUCUCUAAAAAUACAAAAAUUAGCUGGGCGUAGUAGCCCGUGCCUGUAGUCCCAGCUACUUGGAUGACUGAGGCACAAGAAUUGCUUGAAGCCAGGAGGCAGAGCUUGCAGUGAGCAGACAUUGUGCCACUGUACUCCAGCCUGGGCAACACAGCGAGACUCUGUCUAAAAAAAAAAAAAAGUGCUUCAAAAGCAACCGUAUAACAGAGACAUACUGAACAUAGGAUUUCUGCCAUUCUUGUCUGCCUAUAAGGAUAGACAAACUAUCUCAGAUAAGUAACUGAGAUAUUUAUUCAACGGUAUUCUCACUCUAAGUCCUUGUGGAAAAAGAUAUUAAAGUACAAGGAAAAGACCAUAAGUCUUGCAGGAAGUAAAAACAUGAAGAGAAAAAUGUGGAGAGACAAGUAAACUGCGUUUUUCCGCAGUCUCAGAAUUUAUCCCGCUCUGUGUAACCCAGAAGUGACUGUGAAGGCGCAACCUGUGUAUGUAGCCUGGACCCCACAUGCUCUGCUACUGAGCUUGAGUCAUUAAUCUUCUGGCCACCGAUUUUUCUCUCAAAAAUUACAUGAGCUUCCUCCAUCAAUAAAUAUCUUCAGUGCUCUAUCCAUUAAUUUCCCAUCCACUGAAUAAAGGUUACAACAACUAUUCAUGAGGUUAGGUUUGUUUAAAAAUACAGUUUACAUCAAUUAAGUGGGGUACAUUAGGGAAUUAGAAGGAGAACAGAGAAGGCAGCAGUGAGUGCUUCCAACCCAACUUCAGGGGCUGGGACAAGGUGAAAUUACAGAGAUCACAAACUGAAGAUACUAAACAGGAAUGAAAGGGGCUGGUCUCACAUGUAUCACAGCCUACCAUUUCCAGAGACACAGCUCUCAGGUUCCAAAGGGACUAGUUGACAUCAAUUGCAAGAUGGUUUUCUAGAUCCCACAGCCUUUCUCAACAACAGUUUACAAGAGAAUUAGCCAUACAAAAAAUUAUUUGAGUGACUGUUUUUUCAAUUUUCUGAAGGGUUGUGCAUAACUAGUACUAUUCUAAUUGCACAGGAGAGAAAUUAACUCAUAACAUUAAUGCCUUAGGGUAGGUGUUGACAAACUAAGAACAUAGCUGCCCACCCGUUUUUGUAAAAUUUUUUUUGUAUUUUUAUUUGUUUAUUUAUUUUAUUUUGAGUGGAGUCUCGCUCUUUUGCCCAGGAUGGAGUGCAGUGGCACAAUCUUGGCUCACUGCAACCUCUGCCUCAUGGGUUCAAGCAAUCCUCUCACCUCAGCCUCCCAAGUAGCUGGGAUUGCAAGCGUGCACCACCACACGUGGCUAGUUUUUGUAUUUUUUGUAGAGGCGAAGUUUCACCAUGUUGGCCAGGCUGGUCUUGAACACCUGACCUCAAGUAAUCCACCCACUUCGGCCUCCCAAAGUGCUGGGAUUACAGGUGUGAGCCACCGCACCCGGCCCCAUUUUUGUAAAUAUGGUUUUUUGGUAACACAGUCAUGCUCAUUCAUUUUUUGUAUUGACUAUGACUGUUUUGAAGCUAUAAUGGUAGAACUGAGUAGAUACAGAUAUGUCAUUGCUUACAAUUGCAUAUAAACUUUGGAAGAGUAAACAAGAAAUUGGUAGCAUUAUUUGUUCCUAAUGAGGAGAACUAAGGGUCUGUGAACAAUUGCGGGAAGGAGACCUUUCCAUAUACAGCCUUUGGGCAUAAGCAACCAUGCCCAACCCCAAGUCUCUUCAUAAAGGAAAAUAUUAAUAAUUUGUCUUGGUUGAAUGUAUGUUAAAUGGAACAAAAUUGAUUCCUUUAAAAAAUUAUAGCCGGCAGCAGUGACUCACGACCAUGGGCCCAGCACUUGGGAGGCCCAGACGGGUGGAUCACUUGAGUCCAGGAGACCGGCCUGGGCAGCCUGUAGAAACUCUAUGAAAAAUAAAAAAGUUAGCCGGUGAUUUGCACCUGUGGUCCCGGCUGCUAGUAGGGAGGUGGGGGGCAGUGCUGAGGUGGGAGGAUUGCUUGAGCUCAGAAGGUGGAGGUUGCAGUGAGCCAUGAUCUUGCUCCACUGCACUCCAGCCUGGGUGACCGAGUGAGACCCUUCUCAAAAAAUAAAAUAAAAUAAAAUAAAAAUUAUAAACAAGGAAAAGUCUUAGUUCAUAGAUGAAAUGAUUAGACCUUCUUCUCUGGAGUAAUAGAAAUCGGUCCUUUCUGGAUGAGAACCAGCAUCUUUGCAGCCUUAAGCCACCUGAAGCUUAGUUGGCAUGAGAACGUAGUUAGAAAACUCCUCUUUAUUACUGAGAAGCAAAUUCCAGAGGUUCAUCUGCCAGGACUAACUUGGAUCUGAGGGGUAGAUACCUUUGCUCAAAAAUGCAAAUCUUCAGAGCUCGCGGAAGUGGAAGAAUAACUACAUAGGCAAAGAAAAUGCCAUCUCUGUCUCCGCGAGCUUCCUCUAGCAGGCCGGGAUUUUUCAUGGUCAGCCUGUUUGA